UACAGAGGUCCCAAGCGUUGUUUGGAUUCAUUGGGCGUAAAGGGUGCGUAGGUGGCGCCGUAAGUCGGGUGUGAAAUUUCGGAGCUUAACUCCGAAACUGCAUUCGAUACUGCGGUGCUUGAGGACUGGAGAGGAGACUUGAAUUCAUGGUGUAGCAGUGAAAUGCGUAGAGAUCAUGAGGAAGACCAGUGGCGAAGGCGGGUCUCUGGACAGUUCCUGACACUGAGGCACGAAGGCCAGGGGAGCAAACGGG
RNAcentral lists this ribosomal RNA (253 nucleotides) under uncultured bacterium. Its description in RNAcentral is "partial 16S ribosomal RNA". It matches the Rfam family "Bacterial small subunit ribosomal RNA", at positions 524 to 776 of the family's 1533-position model. The record is from RNAcentral.